CUGCCCUCAAGCCCGGCUUGUGUGUUAGGCCGACGUCCCCCACUUCUGGUGGGACGGGCCCGAAAGGCAGCGGCGGCACCGCGCCUAGUCCUCGAGCGUAUGGGGCUUUGUCACCCGCUCUGUAGGCCUGGCCGGCGCCUGCCGACCCCCCAACCGUUUUCUCCAGG
Molecule: unclassified non-coding RNA, 167 nt
Filed under: uncultured Neosartorya
Lineage: Eukaryota; Fungi; Ascomycota; Eurotiomycetes; Eurotiales; Aspergillaceae
Description: sequence contains ITS2
Source: RNAcentral